GCCGAGGUGGCGGAACUGGUAGACGCGCAUGACUCAAAAUCAUGUGUCUUCGUGGCGUGUGGGUUCGAGUCCCACCCUCGGCA
RNAcentral lists this transfer RNA (83 nucleotides) under Candidatus Hydrogenedentota bacterium. RNAcentral's name for it is "Candidatus Hydrogenedentes bacterium tRNA-Leu". It matches the Rfam family "tRNA". From Rfam's summary of the family: Transfer RNA (tRNA) molecules are approximately 80 nucleotides in length. Their secondary structure includes four short double-helical elements and three loops (D, anti-codon, and T loops). The record is from RNAcentral. Lineage: Bacteria; Pseudomonadati; Candidatus Hydrogenedentota.